Molecule: ribosomal RNA, 504 nt
Filed under: uncultured bacterium
Lineage: Bacteria
Description: bacterial SSU rRNA
Rfam family: Bacterial small subunit ribosomal RNA
Source: RNAcentral
GGCGAACGCUGGCGGCGUGGAUUAGGCAUGCAAGUCGAACGGUAUCAUCCUUUCGGGGGUGAGAGAGUGGCGAACUGGUGAGUAACACGUAGGUUAUCUACCCUCAAGACGGGGACAACCCAGGGAAACUUGGGCUAAUACCGGAUGUGAGCAACUUUUAGUUGUUUGAAAGGUGGCGUAAGCUGUCGCUUGGGGAUGAGCCUGCGUCCUAUUAGUUAGUUGGUGAGGUAACGGCUCACCUAGGCAAUGAUAGGUAGGCGGCCUUAACGGGUGGUCGCCCACACUGGGAUUGAGAUACGGCCCAGACUCCUACGGGAGGCAGCAGUCGAGAAUAGUCUACAAUGGUCGGAAGACUGAUAGUGCGACGCCGCGUGAACGAUGAAUCCCUUCGGGGUUAAAGUUCUUUUAUAUGUGAGCAGUGCUUCUUAUAUUAACAGUAUGGGGAGAGAGAUAUUAGCAUAUGAAUAAGCAACGGCUAACUCCGUGCCAGCAGCCGCGGUAAAA